This is a long non-coding RNA of Musca vetustissima, 337 nucleotides long. RefSeq lists it as uncharacterized. Lineage: Eukaryota; Metazoa; Arthropoda; Insecta; Diptera; Muscidae. The record is from RefSeq and is a predicted model, not a curated record. The transcript has 2 exons.
GAUUACAAAGCUGAAUACAACAAACUACGCGAAGAAAAACUAAAGGAACAAACCAAAAAACAAGAAGAGAAAUUGGAAACCAUUGCCAAAAGUAAAGGUGCUGGCAGCGAAAUUAAAUUGACGGGCUUUGUGGAGGAGGUUUCCAGUGGUCGCGAACUUUCCGAUGUCUAUUUAAAACAUCCGGGCAAUGAAAGUUCCGAAGAUGAAGAAGGCAACGAGGAUGAGGCCCCAUCCACCUAUCAAGUUGAACAAACGGAAGAACAAAAUUUCCAACAGUUUGUUAAAAAUCGUAUCGAUACACAAAAUGAAAAGAAUAAACAGCUAAUGUCGGAAUGAA